AGAGUUUGAUCCUGGCUCAGAUUGAACGCUGGCGGAAUGCUUUACACAUGCAAGUCGAGCGGCAGCGCGGGGCAACCUGGCGGCGAGCGGCGAACGGGUGAGUAAUGCAUCGGAACAUGUCCAAGUCGUGGGGGAUAGCCCGGCGAAAGCCGGAUUAAUACCGCAUACGCCCGAGAGGGGAAAGUGGGGGACCGCAAGGCCUCACGCGAUUGGGUUGGCCGAUGUCCGAUUAGCUAGUUGGUGGGGUAAAGGCUUACCAAGGCGAUGAUCGGUAGCUGGUCUGAGAGGAUGAUCAGCCACACUGGGACUGAGACACGGCCCAGACUCCUACGGGAGGCAGCAGUGGGGAAUUUUGGACAAUGGGGGCAACCCUGAUCCAGCCAUUCCGCGUGAGUGAAGAAGGCCUUCGGGUU
This 413-nucleotide ribosomal RNA is filed under the name uncultured bacterium. RNAcentral describes it as "bacterial SSU rRNA". It matches the Rfam family "Bacterial small subunit ribosomal RNA", at positions 8 to 424 of the family's 1533-position model. The record is from RNAcentral.